UUGGAGGGCAAGUCUGGUGCCAGCAGCCGCGGUAAUUCCAGCUCCAAUAGCGUAUAUUAAAGUUGUUGCAGUUAAAAAGCUCGUAGUUGAAUUUCGGGAUCAAUAUUUCGGUCAUGCCGUUGGUAUGCACUGUUAUCAUUGAUUUCUCACCUUCUAAAGAACCGUAAUGCCAUUAAUUUGGUGUUACGGGGAAUUAGGACUGUUACCUUGAAAAAAUUUAAGUGUUUAAAGCAGGCUCACGCUUGAAUACAUUAGCAUGGAAUAAUGAAAUAGGACAUCCGAUUCUAUUUUGUUGGUUUCUAGGAUCGAUGUAAUGAUUAAUAGGGAUAGUUGGGGGCAUUAGUAUUCAAUUGUCAGAGGUGAAAUUCUUGGAUUUAUUGAAGACUAACUACUGCGAAAGCAUUUGCCAAGGAUGUUUUCAUUAAUCAAGAACGAAAGUUAGGGGAUCGAAGACGAUCAGAUACCGUCGUAGUCUUAACCAUAAACUAUGCCGACUAGGGAUCGGAUGAUGUUAAUUUUUUAAUGACUCAUUCGGCGCCUUACGGGAAAC
RNAcentral lists this ribosomal RNA (550 nucleotides) under uncultured Funneliformis. RNAcentral describes it as "SSU rRNA". It matches the Rfam family "Eukaryotic small subunit ribosomal RNA", at positions 548 to 1098 of the family's 1831-position model. Lineage: Eukaryota; Fungi; Glomeromycota; Glomeromycetes; Glomerales; Glomeraceae. The record is from RNAcentral.